GCGCUCUUUCCCCAAUAUCGCAAAGAGCCCCGUGGUUAUGUUCUCCAAAUCGCCGAGCUGCGGCCAGCUGUUGCUAUGGCGACCGGAACCCGCUGACAACCAUCUCGAAGGGCCUCUGAGGAGGAGACUGCUUGGCUUCCAUUCAAGCGCAGUUCAAACGGCUCGCGCACAGUUCUGGGGAAAAGCCAGCUGCUACACUGUGGGAAUACAUAGCCUCAAGAAGAGGCCCUCACGGCAGAGGACUGGGGCCUUCUGCCAAAACCCAGCGAGAUGCUGGGCUCUCGCACCAAUGGCUGUGCGAGUGAGUGGGAAACAGACCCUCCGGCCCCAGUCGGCUUCAGAUGCUGGCAGCCCCACCUGUAACCUCAAGGCAGGCCUUGAGCCAAACCAUCCAGCUAAGCUGCUCCAAAUUUUCUGACCCACAACAACUGUGAGAUAAUAAAUGUUUGCUAUUCCAA
This is a long non-coding RNA of Panthera uncia (snow leopard), 458 nucleotides long. RefSeq lists it as uncharacterized. The transcript has 2 exons. The record is from RefSeq and is a predicted model, not a curated record. Lineage: Eukaryota; Metazoa; Chordata; Mammalia; Carnivora; Felidae.